AAGUCCCGCAAGGGAUGAGUAGAGUGGCAAACGGGUGAGUAACACGUGGGUGACCUGCCUUCGAGCGGGGGAUAACGUCCCGAAAGGGACGCUAAUACCGCAUAACAUCCUGCCUUUGAAGAGGCGGUGAUCAAAGCUGGGGAUCGCAAGACCUAGCACUCGAAGAGGGGCCCGCGUCCGAUUAGCUAGUUGGUGAGGUAAUGGCUCACCAAGGCAACGAUCGGUAGCCGGCCUGAGAGGGCGGACGGCCACACUGGGACUGAGACACGGCCCAGACUCCUACGGGAGGCAGCAGUGGGGAAUUGUUCGCAAUGGGCGCAAGCCUGACGACGCAACGCCGCGUGGAGGAUGAAGAUCUUCGGGUCGUAAACUCCUUUCGAUCGAGACGAAUUCCUUCGGGGUGAACAAUCCCGGAGGUUGACGGUACCGAGAGAAGAAGCCCCGGCUAACUCCGUGCCAGCAGCCGCGGUAAUACGGGGGGGGCAAGCGUUGUUCGGAAUUACUGGGCGUAAAGGGCUCGUAGGUGGCCAACUAAGUCAGACGUGAAAUCCCUCGGCUUAACCGGGGAACUGCGUCUGAUACUGGUUGGCUUGAGUUUGGGAGAGGGAUGCGGAAUUCCAGGUGUAGCGGUGAAAUGCGUAGAUAUCUGGAGGAACACCGGUGGCGAAGGCGGCAUCCUGGACCAACACUGACGCUGAGGAGCGAAAGCCAGGGGAGCAAACGGGAUUAGAUACCCCGGUAGUCCUGGCCCUAAACGAUGAAUGCUUGGUGUGGCGGGUAUCGAUCCCUGCCGUGCCGAAGC
RNAcentral lists this ribosomal RNA (802 nucleotides) under uncultured Bacillota bacterium. Its description in RNAcentral is "bacterial SSU rRNA". It matches the Rfam family "Bacterial small subunit ribosomal RNA", at positions 72 to 852 of the family's 1533-position model. Lineage: Bacteria; Bacillati; Bacillota. The record is from RNAcentral.